CUGGACCUUGCAGCGAGUAGCAUGCCCGGAGAUCUUAGCCAGUGGAUAAUGAAGCAUUACGACCCUAAGAUUUCGCAGAUAGUCAUUCCAGAAAGGGAGAUUCCUGUAGAUGCCGCAAGUGUCCGUAGGAUAUGGGGUUUGCCAAAUAGGGGCAGGAAGGUGUGCUUCGAGAAUCGUCCUGAAAUCACAAAGGCAAUGUACAGUAUUUAUAAUAUCACAUCCAAGGACUCCCCAACUCUCACAGAAUGGUGCAAGAUGAUCAUAGACAUGGGAGGAUCUUAUGAUGAUGACUUUGUCCGCGCUUGGCUAGCUCUUGUUUUUUCGUGCUUCCUUGCCUCUUCAACUAGUUUAAGUAUUUCCCCAAAAAGCUUCCCGGCGGUCAUGAAUGUCAAUGGAAUAACGGAAACCAAUAUAUGUCAGUUUGUUGUUGAUCAACUAAAGCUUGCGUUCACUUCGGGGCGUGGCAACAAGAAGGUUGUUUGUUGUUGUGUUUUCCACCUCGUUAUAAGUGCUUCAAGUUGUCUUGCUUUCUUAAGCAUCCAUAUUGUUUUCUUUUUUUUUUCUUAA
This 567-nucleotide ribosomal RNA is filed under the name Triticum aestivum (bread wheat). RNAcentral describes it as "partial small subunit ribosomal RNA". The record is from RNAcentral. Lineage: Eukaryota; Viridiplantae; Streptophyta; Magnoliopsida; Poales; Poaceae.